UACGUAGGGUGCGAGCGUUACUCGGAAUUACUGGGCGUAAAGCGUGCGUAGGUGGUUCGUUAAGUCUGAUGUGAAAGCCCUGGGCUCAACCUGGGAAUUGCAUUGGAUACUGGCGAGCUAGAGUGCGGUAGAGGAUGGCGGAAUUCCCGGUGUAGCAGUGAAAUGCGUGGAGAUCAAGAGGAACACUCGUGGCGAAAGCGAGCUACUGGACAUUUACUGACGCUGAGGCUCGAAGGCCAGGGUAGCGAAAGGG
Molecule: ribosomal RNA, 253 nt
Filed under: uncultured bacterium
Lineage: Bacteria
Description: partial 16S ribosomal RNA
Rfam family: Bacterial small subunit ribosomal RNA
Source: RNAcentral